RNAcentral lists this ribosomal RNA (369 nucleotides) under uncultured bacterium. RNAcentral's name for it is "bacterial SSU rRNA". It matches the Rfam family "Bacterial small subunit ribosomal RNA", at positions 527 to 896 of the family's 1533-position model. The record is from RNAcentral.
GAAGGGGGCUAGCGUUGCUCGGAAUCACUGGGCGUAAAGGGUGCGUAGGCGGGUCUUUAAGUCAGAGGUGAAAUCCUGGAGCUCAACUCCAGAACUGCCUUUGAUACUGAGGAUCUUGAGUUUGGGAGAGGUGAGUGGAACUGCGAGUGUAGAGGUGAAAUUCGUAGAUAUUCGCAAGAACACCAGUGGCGAAGGCGGCUCACUGGCCCGAUACUGACGCUGAGGCACGAAAGCGUGGGGAGCAAACAGGAUUAGAUACCCUGGUAGUCCACGCCUUAAACGAUGAAUGCCAGCCGUUGGUGGGUUUACUCAUCAGUGGCGCAGCUAACGCUUUAAGCAUUCCGCCUGGGGAGUACGGUCGCAAGAUUA